UAUUGCACAAUGGGGGAAACCCUGAUGCAGCGACGCCGCGUGGGUGAGGAAGUAUUUCGGUAUGUAAAGCUCUAUCAGCAGGGAAGAAAAUGACGGUACCUGAGUAAGAAGCCCCGGCUAACUACGUGCCAGCAGCCGCGGUAAUACGUAGGGGGGCAAGCGUUAUCCGGAUUUACUGGGUGUAAAGGGAGCGUAGGCGGCAAGGUAAGCCAGAAGUGAAAGCCCGUGGCUCAACUGCGGGACUGCUUUUGGAACUAUCUAGCUAGAUUGCAGGAGAGGUAAGUGGAAUUCCUAGUGUAGCGGUGAAAUGCGUAGAUAUUAGGAGGAACACCAGUGGCGAAGGCGGCUUACUGGACUGUAAAUGACGCUGAGGCUCGAAAGCGUGGGGAGCAAACAGG
RNAcentral lists this ribosomal RNA (398 nucleotides) under uncultured bacterium. RNAcentral's name for it is "bacterial SSU rRNA". It matches the Rfam family "Bacterial small subunit ribosomal RNA", at positions 362 to 776 of the family's 1533-position model. The record is from RNAcentral.